GCCCCCGUAGCUCAGGUGGAUAGAGCAUCUGCCUUCUAAGCAGAGGGUCGGCCGUUCGAAUCGGCCCGGGGGUG
RNAcentral lists this transfer RNA (74 nucleotides) under Candidatus Zixiibacteriota bacterium. RNAcentral's name for it is "tRNA-Arg". It matches the Rfam family "tRNA". Rfam says of the family: Transfer RNA (tRNA) molecules are approximately 80 nucleotides in length. Their secondary structure includes four short double-helical elements and three loops (D, anti-codon, and T loops). The record is from RNAcentral. Lineage: Bacteria; Pseudomonadati; Candidatus Zixiibacteriota.